UAAGACGAAAAUACGACGAUGACGAAUA
RNAcentral lists this small RNA (28 nucleotides) under Bombyx mori (domestic silkworm). RNAcentral's name for it is "piRNA piR-bmo-1524043". The record is from RNAcentral. Lineage: Eukaryota; Metazoa; Arthropoda; Insecta; Lepidoptera; Bombycidae.